GGGGUGGACUACAGCAGUGGAGCACUAACUCAUUUUUCUCCGGACUCCCCCUCCUACAAGCCUUGUUGAACUGAACGGGAUUCAAACCACCUCUUUACUCUGCUGGAAUCAGGUCAUCCAGCACAAAGAAACUGAAGUCAGCUGACUUCUAUCACAUCUGGCUCACAAAGGGGGACAAACACUCAUUUUCCGCCCAGAUAGCCAGAGCAGUGGGAACUUCCUGUUGGCAUCACACUCACAGAGCAGCUAACGCCUCGCUGCAGCGGGCGACACGGAGAUAACGGCAGACCUCUCGGCUCAAAUAUGAGACAAAUCAGACCGAACAGAAAGCAGGAGGCGACCUCCGGCUCUUCAGUGAGGUCAGAGGUCACCCGUUAGAGCUGCGUUCUAACCUGACCACCAGGGGGCGACGUCUCUGGUCCCAUAAAGCUCUACGGGAAAAAGAACCAAGGCAACGAACAUAAUUCAUUUUUUUUAAUCCCUUCUGUUUUUGUUUGUAUGAAUAAUAAACCUGGAAAUCCCCUGUGAGCCAAUGUGUUGCAUCUCAGAGAUUUUAUUACUAACACAAACUAGGGGAGAAAUAUUUGUAGAACAAAAGUUUGAAUCCUUAAUAACAAAGAUGAGUAGAAACAGAAGAGGGCCGAGGUAAGUGCAACCUGAAAACCACAUUAUCAGGUGUUAGAAUCAACUGGGAACAAAGCAAAAGUAUUAAAAAGGACACAGGACAACGCCAUGGCAACGACCUGUCAAUCAGCGUGUAGCCCGCCUUAAAGCAUUAUGGUAUGUUUGACUCUACACGGACCGGGGUGGAGGAAAUAUUGCUUGUUAAACUACGGACAUGGUCGAAUCACAGAGGACCCAUGUGACCACAUUCCACUCAUCCCCGACAUUCUGCAGAGAAUCCGCACGCCACAUCAGCAGAUGUGAUUUACACUAACGAGCAUCACGGGACGGCGCGCCAUGUGCAGCGAGGGGUCGGGUUAGAGUAGAGGUCACGUGGGGGGCCGUGUGUGUGUGUGUGUAAGUACUUUGUAGGUGUAGUAAGGACAAGGCCGGUCCAGGACUUGCCUUCAGCAGCCUUCGUAGACCCGGGCUGGUCCUCCAACAACCGCAUAGGCCGACCGUCGCCAUGGAUACCGAAGCAGCCCAGCAGGCCGAACGAAUUCCCCGACAGGGAAGACUUGGAAUUCUUUUCUGUUUUCUUCUUCUUUGCAACGCUCCCUUUUUCUAAUAAAUACAAACU
Long non-coding RNA from Pungitius pungitius (ninespine stickleback), 1243 nucleotides. RefSeq lists it as uncharacterized. The transcript has 3 exons. NCBI's taxonomy places the organism in Eukaryota, Metazoa, Chordata, Actinopteri, Perciformes, Gasterosteidae. The record is from RefSeq and is a predicted model, not a curated record.